GAAGUGCGAUAAGCAAUGCGAAUUGCAGAAUUCCGCGAGUCAUCAGAUCUUUGAACGCAAAUGGCGCCGGAGGGAUAUCCUUCUGGCAUGUCUGUUUCAGUGUCUGAGAGGUUUCACCAACAUCUUAAUGUGAUUGACAGCAGCAGCAGCAAGCAAUUGUUGUGGUUGGUGUUGUCUCUCAUGAAAGAUGCGCGAGUGGAUCUUUCGGUCCAAUGAAGUGGUCACAUCACUCGUAUGUGAUUUCAUUGGGAGCACCGAAUUAUCCGCCAUGCUCGCGGUGUCAUCAUAUAAUAUAUGACGAAAGCAAGAAAGAAAGAAAGAGCUUCUUUCUUCUUCUUCUUCUUUGGUUGUAUUUUUUUUCUCUCUCUACACCCUGCAUCUGAGAUAGGCAAGAUCACCCGCUGAACUUAAGC
Molecule: unclassified non-coding RNA, 413 nt
Filed under: plant metagenome
Description: partial contains 5.8S ribosomal RNA, internal transcribed spacer 2, and large subunit ribosomal RNA
Rfam family: 5.8S ribosomal RNA (bases 1-105)
Source: RNAcentral